Panthera uncia (snow leopard) is the source of this 2513-nucleotide long non-coding RNA. RefSeq lists it as uncharacterized. The record is from RefSeq and is a predicted model, not a curated record. NCBI's taxonomy places the organism in Eukaryota, Metazoa, Chordata, Mammalia, Carnivora, Felidae. The transcript has 5 exons.
CUCCUCCUUCCCGCCUCCCUCUGGGUCAUCUGCUCCCCCCACCCCCACCCCAACUCGGCCAGGCCACCGCGCCAGCCUUCCGCCGGCUUCUUAAGGCCUCGGAACAAACAUCCUUUUUAAAGGCUGCUAAUCACUUUCCUGCAAAGAUGACAAGGAUCACCAUAACUUUGAGUAAGAUUUUACCAGCCGACGGCUGCACGGAAGUCUGUGUUGUGGACUGGAAUGUUCGUGUGCCACCCCCCACCCACCUCCACACCGUUGAAAACCCUAACCUCUCAGGGAUUAGGAGGUGGGGCCUUUGAGGUGAUUAGGUCACGAGGGUGGAGCCCUCCUGAAUGGAAUUAGUGCCCUUAUAAAAGAGACCCCAUUGAGCUCUCUCGCUGUGCUGUGUGCCACGUGAGGGAGGACCCAAGGAGAAAAGGGAGGACUACAACCCAGAAGAGUUCCUCCAGCAGACUUCGGCCAUGCCGGCACCUGCACUCCGAUUUCCAGCGUGCAGAACCGUCAGCACUAAAUUUCGGUUGUUUGUAGCCACCCAGUCCAUGGUAUUCUGCUAUAGCAGCCUAAAACAAGACGCCUUCUGCAAAUGUGUUUGAAGGAAAAAUGUCAAACGUCUUACGGUGAAACCUAAGAAGCAUUUAUCCCUGAAACUCCUCAAGCGUUCACAUUGGAUUUUUCUGUCAAGACUACAUUGUUGACCAGCUAAUAACAUCCAGCCUUGUCUCUCCCAGCAAAGGACUAAACUCAUUUUAACAGAUUAAUAAACCAAAGAUCCUAGAGAUUAAGGUACUUAACCUAGAGUCACAUGACUUUUAAGGAAUGAUAGAGCCAGGAUUUGAAUGUAGCUGAUUCAAGAUAUUUUCAGAUCAAAAAAUCUGGAGCUUACCACCAACAGAAAACACUCCCUGAUGCAAGAAGCAAAGAAAUGGGUAAGUAAGUGGUUAAAAUUAAAAAUGCAAUAAAGGAAUAAUACUAACAAUGUGUGUGGUUAAUGAAGUAAGGCAAGAUGGAACUAAUAUCCUGGACAACAAAGUCAUACUUUGAAGUGGGAAGGGUGGGAUGAUGAUUAGACUUAAAGUUUUCCAAAGUCCUUGUAUUGUUUGGGAAAACAAUAAAAAUAUUGAUUAAGCUUUAUUCUUUUAAGUAUUCAAGUUAAAAUAUCUCAGGUGACUAAGAGUUUUAAUUUCUAAAUUAAUAGAGGGAGAAAAUAGAAUAAAAAUCCAACAAAAGCAUCAUAUGAUGAUAGAAAAAAGAAAUAAAUAGUGAAACAAAUAGAAAUCACAAAUAAUAUGGUAAAAAAUAAAUGCAAAUAUUUCAGUAACUAUAGUAAAUGUAAGCCGAAUAAGGUCUCCAAUUUAAAAAAAGAAUGCAGGGGCGCCCGGGUGGCUUAGUCGGUUAGACUUCGGCUCAGGUCAUGUUCUCACAGUUUGUGGUUCAAGCCCCGUGUUGGGCUCUGUGCUGCCAGCUCAGAGCCUGGAGCUUGCUUCCGAUUCUGUGUCUCCCUCUCUCUGCCCCCCUCUCUCUGCCCCUCCCCCGCUCACGCUCUGUCUCACUUGCUCUCUCAAAAAUUAACAUUAAAAAAAAUUUUUUUUUAAUAAUAAAAAAUAAAAAAAGAAUGCAAACAGACAAGAAAACAAAAUCCAACCGUAUGCUAUUUUUGAAACAUUCUCAAAACGAAGAACAUAGAAAAAUGUAGGAGGAUGGAAAAAGAUGUCAGGCUAACAUAUCAGUAGAAAGCUUACCAGUAACAUCAGACAAACUAAGAAUAAAUGAAGGUUGUUAAAUAAUGGUAAGUUCAGGACCCUAGGACUUCAGAAUUCUAAACAUGUAUGUUCAUAAUUACAGGUCCUUAAAAUACUGAAAGCAAACUUUGACAGAACUAUGAGAAAAAUGUAUAAAUUUCCCACUGUAGUGGAGAUUUUAAUACACCUCAAAAUAAUGAAUGGAUAGAUCUUACAAGAAUCAGAAGAUAUGAGCAACAUAAUUAAGAGAUUAAGGGGCACCUGGGUGGCUGUGUCAAACGUCUGACUCUGGAUUUCAGCUCAGGUCAUGAUCUCAUGGUUUGUGAGUUUGAGCCCCACGUGUGGCUCUGCACUGACAGUGCGGAGCUUGCUUAGGAUUCUCUCUCUACCUCCCUCUCUGCCCCUCCCCUGCUCAUGCUCUCUCUCUCAAAAUAAAUAAAGUUUAAAAAAAAAAUGAGACUGAAUUACUAGACAUAUUAAAUGUUGCACUUAAUAGUGCAUUCAUAUCCUUUUAAUGCACACAUGUGAGAUAUUUAUGAAGAUUGAGCACAUGUAUGUCCAUGUAGUAAUUCUCAACAAAUUUUAGAUAAUUGAUGUUGCAUAAGCCACAUUCUCUAACAAACAUGCAAUUAAGUCAGAAAUACUAAGGGGAGAAAAAUACAUUUGAAUAUUGAAACACAUGCUUGUAAAUAACUUGUUGGUCAGAAAAAAAAAAAAACUAUGAUGGGAAUUAUAAAAUAAUUGGAUCUAAAGAACAAUGAAAUGUAAAUC